Wyeomyia smithii (pitcher-plant mosquito) is the source of this 1655-nucleotide long non-coding RNA. RefSeq lists it as uncharacterized. The record is from RefSeq and is a predicted model, not a curated record. The transcript is spliced from 2 exons. NCBI's taxonomy places the organism in Eukaryota, Metazoa, Arthropoda, Insecta, Diptera, Culicidae.
UCUUCCUGCGACUUCGACGGAACCAGCUCCAGGCUGACAUCGCUACUGUAUUUACUCCUCUGCGGGGAAAACGGGAACAAAGAAAUCACAAAAGAUUAAUCAGAACGUAAUCUGAGUUAAAUCGCAUCCGGACGGUAUGCGCACUGAACGGUCUGUUGCUAGACAGUGAUUCAGAUGAUAAUCGCGAAUCGUCUUCGAUUGUCAUAACCGAACCCGACCGGCUACAGCUUCAAUGUGCAUCUUAACAUGAUUCAGAAAUACUGCACUCGUCUUCUACUUGUGCACGGACAAUGUUGUUCAAUCAUAAUAAUUCGCGUUUUCUUGUACGGUACGCACGGAGUUUCGCUACUCCGCUACUGAAUGUAAUUGACACUAAUUGGUCCCACGGCUAAUCCGUGCGCGCUGCGCUCAACUCCUCGAGACAGCAUCAGCAGUUGUGGUAUAUAGUAAGUUCGUAAUCGUAAUAUACUUGAAUUUCACACCGCAGUAAGGCAGACAGGUUUCAGUGACCCUGAGUGACACUUUUUCACGCUUUUGCUAGAUUAGAAUACCUACACUUUUCAACUCGUGCAAGCGAUCCUUAACCAUGAUUGCGUUCGUUUCGGACCUACUAACUAACACAGGAUAUAUCCGUCCAACGGAUCAAUCUUCCCGAAACCAACCGCGUUGUCUCACGUCACCUCGAUCAACAUCUAAUCUUAUCAAUCAAUUCAUUAAACAAAAACGAUAAGUGAUAAAUAAAACCACAUCGUUUAAGCACAUGACACUAAAAAGCAGCACUGAAACUCGGCACACAUUCUGCGAAAACUUGCGGUGAAUUUUUUUCGCCACUUGUACCGAUUCGGUUCGCUCUGUAAAGUGGUAAUGUUUGUUCACGACUGGCUUGUAUACAGUAAUAACAGAUAGUUAAGCUACUCGUACUCGUAUCCACCAGAGCGCAAUCAAUUCCAAACUCUGACGAUAUGACGGUGACCGCGGGAGAGAGAGACAUAUUAGCACGAAACUUCGCCGAUAUGCGAGCGUGUUGUUGCGACAUCGACUCAUACUAUAUAGAGGUAGCUGAGGCGACUGCGAGAAAAACUGUCCCAACCCGACGAAGGAGUCAUCGUCCGUGGAGUACUACGAUGUUCCAUCGAACUGAGGCUGGGCGAAUAGAGGCAUCUUUAGCGGUCAAGUUCAUCUACCUUCCGUAUUGAAAUCGUGGACUGAUAAGAUAGUUUCGGCUGAUGUCAAAUAAAUAUUAACGCUCGCGUGUGCUGGUAGUUUGCCGAUGGGCUUUGAUUUGGUCCAUAGACUAACGCAUUGGAGGAUUUCAGGGGUUCAAUACACUCUUGAUGAGAAAGACAGAAAACAAAACAAGACAGAAGUUAAUUAAAUUAUAGUUACAAGUCAAGCAAAGCCAAAGCGCUACCUAAACCACUGCUAAACAUCUAGAUAUAUUAGAAUUCAUAGGAACAAUAUUUGCCAAAUAAUUUAGGAAUCAUCGAAACGCUCACAAUUUCUACUUCAUCUAUUGGAUUCGAAAACGAACAGUUUAUAUUGGUGGCGAAUUUGUUAAAAAAUAGAGAGUUGUACUUAUCAACAUAUUAGAGAUAUGUAAUUCGAACUGUUAAGAUUUGUUUGCUUUCGCCAUUAAAGCUCAUUUUUCGUAGAUA